NNCCCUUGAGCACGCCUGAUCUCGUCUGAUCUCGGAAGCUAAACAGGGAUGGGCCUGGUUAGUACUUGGAUGGGAGUCCGCCUGGGAAUACCAGGU
Molecule: ribosomal RNA, 96 nt
Filed under: Lepisosteus oculatus (spotted gar)
Lineage: Eukaryota; Metazoa; Chordata; Actinopteri; Semionotiformes; Lepisosteidae
Source: RNAcentral